RNAcentral lists this ribosomal RNA (497 nucleotides) under uncultured bacterium. RNAcentral's name for it is "partial 16S ribosomal RNA". It matches the Rfam family "Bacterial small subunit ribosomal RNA", at positions 28 to 507 of the family's 1533-position model. The record is from RNAcentral.
GAUGAACGCUGGCGGCGUGCCUAAUACAUGCAAGUCGAGCGAACAGACGAGGAGCUUGCUCCUCUGACGUUAGCGGCGGACGGGUGAGUAACACGUGGAUAACCUACCUAUAAGACUGGGAUAACUUCGGGAAGCCGGAGCUAAUACCGGAUAAUAUAUUGAACCGCAUGGUUCAAUAGUGAAAGACGGUUUUGCUGUCACUUAUAGAUGGAUCCGCGCCGCAUUAGCUAGUUGGUAAGGUAACGGCCUACCAAGGCAACGAUGCGUAGCCGACCUGAGAGGGUGAUCGGCCACACUGGAACUGAGACACGGUCCAGACUCCUACGGGAGGCAGCAGUAGGGAAUCUUCCGCAAUGGGCGAAAGCCUGACGGAGCAACGCCGCGUGAGUGAUGAAGGUCUUCGGAUCGUAAAACUCUGUUAUUAGGGAAGAACAAAUGUGUAAGUAACUAUGCACGUCUUGACGGUACCUAAUCAGAAAGCCACGGCUAACUACGUG